Molecule: ribosomal RNA, 858 nt
Filed under: uncultured bacterium
Lineage: Bacteria
Description: bacterial SSU rRNA
Rfam family: Bacterial small subunit ribosomal RNA
Source: RNAcentral
GAGUGCAGAAGAGGACAGUGGAACUCCAUGUGUAGCGGUGAAAUGCGUAGAUAUAUGGAAGAACACCAGUGGCGAAGGCGGCUGUCUGGUCUGUAACUGACGCUGAGGCUCGAAAGUAUGGGUAGCAAACAGGAUUAGAUACCCUGGUAGUCCAUACCGUAAACGAUGAAUGCUAAGUGUUGGAGGGUUUCCGCCCUUCAGUGCUGCAGCUAACGCAUUAAGCAUUCCGCCUGGGGAGUACGGCCGCAAGGCUGAAACUCAAAGGAAUUGACGGGGGCCCGCACAAGCGGUGGAGCAUGUGGUUUAAUUCGAAGCUACGCGAAGAACCUUACCAGGUCUUGACAUACUAUGCAAAUCUAAGAGAUUAGACGUUCCCUUCGGGGACAUGGAUACAGGUGGUGCAUGGUUGUCGUCAGCUCGUGUCGUGAGAUGUUGGGUUAAGUCCCGCAACGAGCGCAACCCUUAUUAUCAGUUGCCAGCAUUAAGUUGGGCACUCUGGUGAGACUGCCGGUGACAAACCGGAGGAAGGUGGGGAUGACGUCAAAUCAUCAUGCCCCUUAUGACCUGGGCUACACACGUGCUACAAUGGAUGGUACAACGAGUUGCGAACUCGCGAGAGUAAGCUAAUCUCUUAAAGCCAUUCUCAGUUCGGAUUGUAGGCUGCAACUCGCCUACAUGAAGUCGGAAUCGCUAGUAAUCGCGGAUCAGCAUGCCGCGGUGAAUACGUUCCCGGGCCUUGUACACACCGCCCGUCACACCAUGAGAGUUUGUAACACCCAAAGUCGGUGGGGUAACCUUUUAGGAACCAGCCGCCUAAGGUGGGACAGAUGAUUAGGGUGAAGUCGUAACAAGGUAACC